Molecule: transfer RNA, 73 nt
Filed under: Beijerinckia sp. 28-YEA-48
Lineage: Bacteria; Pseudomonadati; Pseudomonadota; Alphaproteobacteria; Hyphomicrobiales; Beijerinckiaceae
Rfam family: tRNA
About the family: Transfer RNA (tRNA) molecules are approximately 80 nucleotides in length. Their secondary structure includes four short double-helical elements and three loops (D, anti-codon, and T loops).
Source: Rfam by way of RNAcentral
GGGCCGAUAGCUCAAUGGUUAGAGCCGGCCGCUCAUAACGGUCUGGUUGCAGGUUCGAGUCCUGCUCGGCCCA